AGCUCCAAUAGCGUAUAUUAAAGUUGUUGCAGUUAAAAAGCUCGUAGUUGGAUUUCUGGUAGGAGCGACCGUGCCGAACUUGAUUGUUCGUGUAUUGUGUUGUCUUCAGCCAUCCUCGUGGAGAACUUUUCUAACAUUAACUUGUUGGGAUUGGGACCCGCGUCGUUUACUGUGAAAAAUUAGAGUGUUUAAAGCAGGCAUUAGCUUGAAUACAUUAGCAUGGAAUAAUAAGAUAGGACUUUGGUACUAUUUUGUUGGUUUGCAUACCAAAUUAAUGAUCAACAGGAACAGUUUGAGGAUAUUCGUAUGAACAUGUCAGAGGUGAAAUUCUUGGAUUUUGAUCAGACGAACUACUGCGAAAGCAUUUAUCAAGGAUGUUUUCA
RNAcentral lists this ribosomal RNA (383 nucleotides) under uncultured eukaryote. Its description in RNAcentral is "SSU rRNA". It matches the Rfam family "Eukaryotic small subunit ribosomal RNA", at positions 587 to 972 of the family's 1831-position model. The record is from RNAcentral.